UAGAGCUGGCGGCAUGCCUUACACAUGCAAGUCGAGCGGCAGCGCGGGGGCAACCCUGGCGGCGAGCGGCGAACGGGUGAGUAAUGCAUCGGAACGUGUGCCUCUUGUGGGGGAUAACCAGUCGAAAGAUUGGCUAAUACCGCAUGAGAUCGUAGAGAUGAAAGCAGGGGACCGCAAGGCCCUUGCGCGAGAGGAGCGGCCGAUGCCGGAUUAGCUAGUUGGUGGGGUAAAGGCCUACCAAGGCGACGAUCCGUAGCUGGUCUGAGAGGACGACCAGCCACACUGGGACUGAGACACGGCCCAUACUCCUACGGGAGGCAGCAGUGGGGAAUUUUGGACAAUGGGGGCAACCCUGAUCCAGCCAUGCCGNGUGUGUGAAGAAGGCCUUCGGGUUGUAAAGCACUUUCNGACGGAACGAAAUCGCGCGAUCUAAUAAGUCGCGUGGAUGACGGUACCGUAAGAAGAAGCACCGGCUAACUACGUGCCAGCAGCCGCGGUAAUAACGUANGGUGCCGAGCGUUAAUCCGAAUUACUGGGCGUAAAGUUGUGCGCAAGUGGCUGAACAAGUUCGAGUGUGAAAUCCCCGGGCUUAACUUGGGGAAUUGCCGCUCC
This 612-nucleotide ribosomal RNA is filed under the name uncultured bacterium. Its description in RNAcentral is "bacterial SSU rRNA". It matches the Rfam family "Bacterial small subunit ribosomal RNA", at positions 31 to 629 of the family's 1533-position model. The record is from RNAcentral.